GGGGGAAUAUUGGGCAAUGGGCGAAAGCCUGACCCAGCAACGCCGCGUGAAGGAAGAAGGUUUUCGGAUCGUAAACUUCUAUCCUUGGUGAAGAUAAUGACGGUAGCCAAGAAGGAAGCCCCGGCUAACUACGUGCCAGCAGCCGCGGUAAUACGUAGGGGGCAAGCGUUGUCCGGAAUGAUUGGGCGUAAAGGGCGCGUAGGCGGCCAACUAAGUCUGGAGUGAAAGUCCUGCUUUUAAGGUGGGAAUUGCUUUGGAAACUGGAUGGCUUGAGUGCAGGAGAGGAUAGUGGAAUUCCUAGUGUAGCGGUGGAAUGCGUAGAUAUUAGGAGGAACAUCAGUGGCGAAGGCGACUAUCUGGACAGCAACUGACACUGAGGCACGAAAGCGUGGGGA
Molecule: ribosomal RNA, 395 nt
Filed under: uncultured bacterium
Lineage: Bacteria
Description: bacterial SSU rRNA
Rfam family: Bacterial small subunit ribosomal RNA
Source: RNAcentral